CGGGUGAGUAACGCGUGAGGAACCUGCCUCAAAGAGGGGGACAACAGUUGGAAACGACUGCUAAUACCGCAUAAGCCCACGGCUCGGCAUCGAGCAGAGGGAAAAGGAGCAAUCCGCUUUGAGAUGGCCUCGCGUCCGAUUAGCUAGUUGGUGAGGUAACGGCCCACCAAGGCGACGAUCGGUAGCCGGACUGGGAGGUUGAACGGCCACAUUGAGACUGAGACACGGCCCAG
Molecule: ribosomal RNA, 233 nt
Filed under: uncultured bacterium
Lineage: Bacteria
Description: partial 16S ribosomal RNA
Rfam family: Bacterial small subunit ribosomal RNA
Source: RNAcentral